Molecule: long non-coding RNA, 2119 nt
Organism: Lolium rigidum
Lineage: Eukaryota; Viridiplantae; Streptophyta; Magnoliopsida; Poales; Poaceae
Exons: 4
Source: RefSeq, a predicted model, not a curated record
CUCCCGAAUCUUCUCCAAUCCUCUACCUCUCCACUCCUGUUAUCUUCUCAGACCUCCUCCCGCAUCUCACCUCCUCCAUGCUAAUCGCUGCACCGAGCAGAGCUCUCCGCUGCGCGACCUCCCCAUGGCCGCCGGCCUCUCCCUUGCCCCGAGCUGCCGGCCUCGCCCCAUCCUUCCCAAUUUUCCCAUGGCUGCGCGCCCGAGCCCGCGGAACCGCGUCGCGGCGGUGGCGAGUCUUCGGAGGGGAACGGCGCGAUGUCGUGCCGCUGAACAGUCUCAGAGGACGGGGCUUACGGAGUAUCUCCAACCAACUAAAGAGGAGGAGCUCGGGCGGUGUUCCAGUAUCCCCCUUUCUCGGAUGCGCGGACGUUGGCACCGGCGGGCGCUCAACACCGCUCCCGCACCCGCCCUUCGUCCCAGGCUGGCACCCUUAUUCGCACUCCCUGCCCGCGUGCUCUUCAGCCCCCUGGCGGAGUUGAUGGAGGAGCCUGGCGCCCUCCUCUCCUCCAGAAGUGGCUGAGGGUGCGGAUGAGGAUCUACGCACCCUCCCCUCUUCCCAGAAGUGGCGAUUAUGGGAGGAGCUACCCAUGUCUGUUAUGCUAUCCCCCGAUGCAGCCAUGGCGAGGCUAGCAGCACGGUGGAGGAGAUCGGCACCCUCCUCUUCUCCUGAGGCGGCGGGCGACAUGGAGGAAGAUCUGGGCGCCCUCCUCUCUCUCUAUCUUGAGACGGCAUGCUUAUGGGAGGGGCUGACGCGGGCGGUGCUCCCUCCCGGAUGCAUCUACUGGUGAUCCCUCUCUUUUUGUACAACGCGGCCAUGACUAAGGCGGCAGCGAGUUGGGCCUGGCUGGUGGUCUACAUCGCAUUCGUUUUGUUAAUUUCAUGAUAGACUGUGAUGCAAAACCUUUUACAUGAUUUGUGUGUUUGUUGUCAGUCUCUUAUUCCAGUUUCGCAGUGUGGAAACGUGCGAGUAAGGAGCGAAUGUAUGUAGGUGCUGCAGCCUGCAGCAGUGUCUGCAUUGUGGAUGUCUGAUGGUUCAUCUGGAGUGUACGGCCUCGGAGUUUUCCUUCAAGUCUGUUGUUACUCUUGCUAUCUAAAUUUGCAAGAUGUACAACUUAGUACUGUUGCGGACGGAAACUCUACCCUUGCAUGCUCAACAGCAACAUGGCACAUCCAGUUUUUCAGGACAGAGCGACUCAGUGCUGGAGGUUUAGUUCAUGUUCUUCGGUUAUGUUACUGCUCGAAGAAGAUCUGAGAAAAGAAUAUUUCCGCAAAUUGUGCAAUGUGUUCUAUUUAGUGAACAGUUACUAAUUGGAUGACAGGUCUUGACCUUCAGCUUUUCAGAGCGCAAGGGAUCAUCUAUGCAACACUUUGCUCAGUAGAGUUAAUACUUGGUGCCACAACCAUUUGUUGUUCUAUCAAUCCACGCCUCUUCAUUACCUCUGAUCCUUCCAGUCCAAUUAAUGAUUUUUUGAAGAGAUUCAGACUGACUAUGAGUAAGUCACAACAAACUGAGAAGAUAAAAGGGAUGGACGAGAUAGAUUAUUAGCGGGACGAGACGCCCCAGGUGCCCUCCAUGUAGGAGAACAUUUCAUAAUGGUAUACAUUGGAAAUAUAGUCUAGGCAAUUUCGUAAUUAUGAUCAUAUUUCUGCUAUAGUCGAUGUAGUACAUGAUCCAUUCUCUGAACAAGAAACAUUAUAUAUCAAGAAGUGGUUGACUAUUUGUAGAAAUUCUUGCUACGCCCUACGCAUAAAGAUUCAUCUCAGCAACAACAUCAGGUGGUUAGUGCUAUCUUUUCGCCAUGGGCUUCUGGCAGAAUGGAUGUUGCGUACCUUACAAUGAAGUUUUCUUUAUGAUUCUUAGUGCUGAUCUGUAGGCUUGGGUGUAACUUAUCUUGCUGGUCGUGUGCUUGACUACUUUGUGGUGCCCAUGGCCGAUCUGUAGGCAUGUAGCUGUUCUUACUAUCGGUGGGUUCGAACAAACUUGGUUUGAAAUGCUCAGGCGGUAUGUACUCUUUACGGUUGUACCAUAGUUUUUUUUUUUUGUAAUAUCAAUGACUGAUGUGUGCUCCGUAACUUGUGCUUCAUUUCCUAGCGAAAGGUAGUAUCUUUAUUGUUGAUC